GCGUUCAUUGUGUAGAGGUUAGCAUCUCGGGUUUCCAACCCGGGGACCCGGGUUCAAUUCCCGGUGAACGCA
RNAcentral lists this transfer RNA (72 nucleotides) under Promethearchaeum syntrophicum. Its description in RNAcentral is "tRNA-Gly (TCC) (tRNA-Gly-TCC-1-1)". It matches the Rfam family "tRNA". Rfam says of the family: Transfer RNA (tRNA) molecules are approximately 80 nucleotides in length. Their secondary structure includes four short double-helical elements and three loops (D, anti-codon, and T loops). Lineage: Archaea; Promethearchaeati; Promethearchaeota; Promethearchaeia; Promethearchaeales; Promethearchaeaceae. The record is from Rfam by way of RNAcentral.